This 528-nucleotide ribosomal RNA is filed under the name uncultured bacterium. Its description in RNAcentral is "bacterial SSU rRNA". It matches the Rfam family "Bacterial small subunit ribosomal RNA", at positions 981 to 1509 of the family's 1533-position model. The record is from RNAcentral.
CGUACAUCCAGCGAACUUGGCAGAGAUGCCUUGGUGCCUUCGGGAACGCUGAGACAGGUGCUGCAUGGCUGUCGUCAGCUCGUGUUGUGAAAUGUUGGGUUAAGUCCCGCAACGAGCGCAACCCUUAUCCUUUGUUGCCAGCGAUUCGGUCGGGAACUCAAAGGAGACUGCCGGUGAUAAACCGGAGGAAGGUGGGGAUGACGUCAAGUCAUCAUGGCCCUUACGAGUAGGGCUACACACGUGCUACAAUGGCGCAUACAAAGAGAAGCGACCUCGCGAGAGCAAGCGGACCUCAUAAAGUGCGUCGUAGUCCGGAUCGGAGUCUGCAACUCGACUCCGUGAAGUCGGAAUCGCUAGUAAUCGUGGAUCAGAAUGCCACGGUGAAUACGUUCCCGGGCCUUGUACACACCGCCCGUCACACCAUGGGAGUGGGUUGCAAAAGAAGUAGGUAGCUUAACCUUCGGGAGGGCGCUUACCACUUUGUGAUUCAUGACUGGGGUGAAGUCGUAACAAGGUAGGCGUAGCGAG